This 705-nucleotide ribosomal RNA is filed under the name uncultured Staphylococcus sp. Its description in RNAcentral is "bacterial SSU rRNA". It matches the Rfam family "Bacterial small subunit ribosomal RNA", at positions 61 to 752 of the family's 1533-position model. Lineage: Bacteria; Bacillati; Bacillota; Bacilli; Caryophanales; Staphylococcaceae. The record is from RNAcentral.
GUCGAGCGAACGGACGAGAAGCUUGCUUCUCUGAUGUUAGCGGCGGACGGGUGAGUAACACGUGGAUAACCUACCUAUAAGACUGGGAUAACUUCGGGAAACCGGAGCUAAUACCGGAUAAUAUUUUGAACCGCAUGGUUCACAAGUGAAAGACGGUCUUGCUGUCCUUAUAGAUGAUCCGCGCUGCAUUAGCUGUUGGCAAGUAACGGCUUACCAAGGCAACGAUGCAUAGCCGACCUGAGAGGGUGAUCGGCCACACUGGAACUGAGACACGGUCCAGACUCCUACGGGAGGCAGCAGUAGGGAAUCUUCCGCAAUGGGCGAAAGCCUGACGGAGCAACGCCGCGUGAGUGAUGAAGGUCUUCGGAUCGUAAAACUCUGUUAUUAGGGAAGAACAUAUGUGUAAGUAACUGUGCACAUCUUGACGGUACCUAAUCAGAAAGCCACGGCUAACUACGUGCCAGCAGCCGCGGUAAUACGUAGGUGGCAAGCGUUAUCCGGAAUUAUUGGGCGUAAAGCGCGCGUAGGCGGUUUUUUAAGUCUGAUGUGAAAGCCCACGGCUCAACCGUGGAGGGUCAUUGGAAACUGGAAAACUUGGGUGCAGAAGAGGAAAGUGGAAUUCCAUGUGUAGCGGUGAAAUGCGCAGAGAUAUGGAGGAACACCAGUGGCGAAGGCGACUUUCUGGUCUGUAACUGACGCUGAUGU